RNAcentral lists this long non-coding RNA (492 nucleotides) under Gossypium raimondii (Peruvian cotton). RNAcentral's name for it is "long non-coding RNA (GRAI_LNC003311)". Lineage: Eukaryota; Viridiplantae; Streptophyta; Magnoliopsida; Malvales; Malvaceae. The record is from RNAcentral.
CCGCGGCCUCUUCCAUGACCAGUCUGUCCCAAAGCUUUUCCCCUACCACUUGAUGCAGGUGGUGGUGGUGGCACACUGGACACCUUUGCACCUGGCAGCCGUGCACCUGGUGGUGGAGGAGGCACAGCAGGACCUUUCGGUGGAGGAGGUGGAGGGGGCACAGCAUGACCUUUCAGUGGAGGGGGUGGAGGGGGCACCGCAGAACCUUUCGGUGGAGGUGGAGGAGGGGGUGCAGUAGGAGCUUUUCGGGUGGAGGGGGUGGAGGGGCGCUGGAGGGCUUUGGUGGAGGGGGUGGAGGAGCUUUUUGGAGGAGGGGGUGGAGGGGGCGCUGGAGGAGCUUUUGGUAGAGGGGGUGGAGGGGGCGCUGGAGGAGCUUUUGGUGGAGGGGUGGAGGAGGAAUAGAACCUGGCCUUGCAAGUCCUGCAAUUGGCGGAGGUGGAGGCGGGGGAGGGACAAUAGUAUUAUGGCAUUGGACAGAUAGGGCAGAUCCCU